Molecule: ribosomal RNA, 103 nt
Filed under: Candidatus Treponema excrementipullorum
Lineage: Bacteria; Pseudomonadati; Spirochaetota; Spirochaetia; Treponematales; Treponemataceae
Source: RNAcentral
AGUGACCAUAGUGGAGGUGUCAUACCCGUUCCCAUCCCGAACACGGAAGUCAAGCCCUCUAACGCCGAUGAUACUGCAUCAGUGGGAAAGUAGGUAGUUGCUG